UACAGAGGUCUCAAGCGUUGUUCGGAUUCAUUGGGCGUAAAGGGUGUGUAGGCGGUCUUCUAAGUUUGGUGUGAAAUCUCCCGGCUCAACUGGGAGGGUGCGCCGAAAACUGGGAGGCUAGAGUGCGGGAUGGGAGAGUGGAAUUCCUGGUGUAGCGGUGAAAUGCGUAGAUAUCAGGAGGAACACCGGUGGCGAAGGCGGGUCUCUGGGCCGAUACUGACGCUGAGGAGCGAAAGCGUGGGGAGCGAACAGG
RNAcentral lists this ribosomal RNA (253 nucleotides) under uncultured bacterium. RNAcentral describes it as "partial 16S ribosomal RNA". It matches the Rfam family "Bacterial small subunit ribosomal RNA", at positions 524 to 776 of the family's 1533-position model. The record is from RNAcentral.